UGGGGAAUCUUGCACAAUGGGGGAAACCCUGAUGCAGCGACGCCGCGUGAGUGAUGAAGCCCUUCGGGGUGUAAAGCUCUUUCGACAGGAACGAUAAUGACGGUACCUGGAGAAGAAGCUGCGGCUAACUACGUGCCAGCAGCCGCGGUAAUACGUAGGCAGCAAACGUUGUUCGGAGUUACUGGGCGUAAAGAGUGCGUAGGCGGUUUGCCAAGUCUGGUGUGAAAUCUCCUGGCUUAACUGGGAGGGUGCGCCGGAUACUGGCAGGCUUGAGUGUGGGAGAGGAAAGCAGAAUUCCUGGUGUAGCGGUGAAAUGCGUAGAUAUCAGGAGGAAUACCUGUGGUGAAGACGGCUUUCUGGACCACAACUGACGCUGAGGCACGAAAGCGUGGGGAGCAAACAGGAUUAGAUACCCUUGUAGUCCCUGAGCGGGCUGGCAAGGCGCAU
RNAcentral lists this ribosomal RNA (447 nucleotides) under uncultured bacterium. RNAcentral's name for it is "bacterial SSU rRNA". It matches the Rfam family "Bacterial small subunit ribosomal RNA", at positions 355 to 825 of the family's 1533-position model. The record is from RNAcentral.